GGGCACCCGCGCAGGCUCAGGCGGCACGAGGGGUGCACACGUCAGCUGAGUUCCUAGCCAGACUCCCAGAGUGACGUCGUGACGACGUCAAAGUGGUUCUGUCCUUGGCUCUGGAGUCCCAACUACCUGCAAAGUAGGAGAGAAUGUCGUUCUGAGAAUUCAAAACGCAAAGUUCUCAGUAGAGGGAUUUUAAAGAUCCUUUCUUUUGGAGAAAGAGGGCAACGGUCAGGAAGCCGUUGGCAUCAGGUGCUGGGAGCAUCCGGGGGGACGUCCUGAGCUGGUGGAUUAGCCUGCAUCCCCGGCACCCGUGGGACCGGACCCUGGAGGCCGUCGGGCUUGAUGUGGAAGCGGCCAUCGGUGAGGAGGCAGCUCAGGAGCCGAGAGAGCUUCGGCUCCCUGCCCUCCUUGGCGGGAGGGCCUUGGCCCCCAGCUCCUUGGCUUGGCGUCACAGAGCCACGGGGCCACCCGCCUGCGGGACGGGAGUGAAUCACAGGCUGGACGCCGGUUUCCGGAGUUCUCCCGGAGGGGGCUCUCCUGCCCCUCGACACUCAGGGGCCGCUGAGCCGCCAUCACCUGUGGCUUCCAGGACCUUGAAUGACCACCGUCCCCCCCUCGCCCAACGGAGGCUAGGGUAAAUAACCCUGAGGUCGGGUAACGGAGGGAGCUCGGAAGACGGCGGCUGUGUCGGAGCUCCGGCAUCGCCACAAACUCCGUUCUUGAUCAGGAGGACCCAUUCCUACCCCCACCACGACCAAGGUGCAUCCAGAAACACAUCUGGGACCUUGGGAAGCAGUUGGCCUGGUGUUGAGCGUUUCACCGAGGGCCGAGCGGGAGAGGGUUGAUUAAUUACUGAGGGUGGACAUCGACGAACGUCCCAAAGAGAGGGACAGGAUGUUUGUCAGCGGGCAUCGCGGGUGCGGGGGGACCCACAGGAGCUCCGGGCAGGCGAGGGCAGAGUGGGGGUCUCCGAGGUGGGGCCCCUGUGCCACACUCAGGGCAUUCGUGUGGGCCGUGGAGGCCAGGAGACCACCGGGUCCGUCCCCGUGCACGGUUCCCAGACGGGUCCCGGGUGCGGUGACGACCUUGUCCCCAGGCAGAGUCCCUGAGAACUGGGCUCCCCCACUCCAGCUGUCGGCCUGCUGGUUUUCAGUUCCCCAUUGGUCCUGCGUUCCCAGGGCUGCUAUUGCCCCCCCCAGCUGGAAGCCCGGCCACAGGGCCUGCAGUCCCGGUCCUGCGGCCGACUCGGCAGCUGGGCCCGGGGUUCUGCGUGCCAGCGCCCGUCCCCGCCCAGUGGCCUGUGGUGCCAGCCUGGGGUAGGAACAUUUGUCUCUGGCCACCUCGUAGCGUGGACCCCAGGGACAGUGAGCCCACGCCCAUGUCUGCAGAGGCCAAGACCUGAAUAUGGAUCCAGCCUGUGGGAUCAUCUGGAGAACUUGUCCCCACUCGGUUCUGACACGUAGAAUUUAAGAAUAUUUUCCCACUCGCGAGCAAUCCUUUUCCGAGCUUACCUCCCUGUGGUCGACGCCGGUCGACCCAGGUCGAAGCCUGGGUACUUACGGUCUUUCCUCUCUUCCUCCGACGACUGAUAACACGCCCCGCUGGCAGGGAAGGGUGUCCUCUGACCACUUAUGUGGACCUGACCCGUGUCAGCUAACUUUGUGAAGCUCGACGUCAGAGGUUCUGCCUCUCCCAGAGCAGAGGCGACGGACUGAUGGAUC
Leopardus geoffroyi (Geoffroy's cat) is the source of this 1718-nucleotide long non-coding RNA. RefSeq lists it as uncharacterized. The transcript is spliced from 3 exons. Lineage: Eukaryota; Metazoa; Chordata; Mammalia; Carnivora; Felidae. The record is from RefSeq and is a predicted model, not a curated record.